UACUCCAGCUCCAGGGAUCCA
This 21-nucleotide unclassified non-coding RNA is filed under the name Mus musculus (house mouse). RNAcentral describes it as "oocyte_clustered_small_RNA273". The record is from RNAcentral. Lineage: Eukaryota; Metazoa; Chordata; Mammalia; Rodentia; Muridae.